GGAGUUGUGGCUCAGUGGUAGAGCGCUCACCUAGCAUGUGCAAAGCCCUGGGUUCGAUCCUCAGCACCG
RNAcentral lists this transfer RNA (69 nucleotides) under Marmota monax (woodchuck). It matches the Rfam family "tRNA". Rfam says of the family: Transfer RNA (tRNA) molecules are approximately 80 nucleotides in length. Their secondary structure includes four short double-helical elements and three loops (D, anti-codon, and T loops). Lineage: Eukaryota; Metazoa; Chordata; Mammalia; Rodentia; Sciuridae. The record is from Rfam by way of RNAcentral.